RNAcentral lists this ribosomal RNA (306 nucleotides) under uncultured bacterium. RNAcentral's name for it is "partial 16S ribosomal RNA". It matches the Rfam family "Bacterial small subunit ribosomal RNA", at positions 507 to 807 of the family's 1533-position model. The record is from RNAcentral.
GACAGCAGCAGCCACGGUAGUACGAGGGGGGCAAGCGUUGUUCGGAAUUAUCGGGCGUAAAGGGCGCAUAGGCGGCUUUGCAAGUCUUGUGUGAAAUCUCUGGGCUCAACCCAGGGGCUGCACGAGAAACUGCAGGGCUUGAGUAUGGGAGAGGUGAGUGGAAUUUCCGGUGUAGCGGUGAAAUGCGUAGAUAUUCGGAAGACCACCAGUGGCGAAGGCGGCUUACUGGCUCAUUCUAGACGCUGAGGUGCGAAAGCGUGGGGAGCAAACAGGAUUAGAGACCCCUGUAGUCCCUGUCUCUUAUAC